Molecule: ribosomal RNA, 1401 nt
Filed under: Mycobacterium sp.
Lineage: Bacteria; Bacillati; Actinomycetota; Actinomycetes; Mycobacteriales; Mycobacteriaceae
Description: bacterial SSU rRNA
Rfam family: Bacterial small subunit ribosomal RNA
Source: RNAcentral
AUACCAUGCAAGUCGAACGGAAGGCCCUUCGGGGUACUCGAGUGGCGAACGGGUGAGUAACACGUGGGUGAUCUGCCCUGCACUUUGGGAUAAGCCUGGGAAACUGGGUCUAAUACCGAAUAUGACUGCACGCUUCCUGGUGUGUGGUGGAAAGCUUUUGCGGUGUGGGAUGGGCCCGCGGCCUAUCAGCUUGUUGGUGGGGUAAUGGCCUACCAAGGCGACGACGGGUAGCCGGCCUGAGAGGGUGACCGGCCACACUGGGACUGAGAUACGGCCCAGACUCCUACGGGAGGCAGCAGUGGGGAAUAUUGCACAAUGGGCGCAAGCCUGAUGCAGCGACGCCGCGUGAGGGAUGACGGCCUUCGGGUUGUAAACCUCUUUCAGCACAGACGAAGCGCAAGUGACGGUAUGUGCAGAAGAAGGACCGGCCAACUACGUGCCAGCAGCCGCGGUAAUACGUAGGGUCCGAGCGUUGUCCGGAAUUACUGGGCGUAAAGAGCUCGUAGGUGGUUUGUCGCGUUGUUCGUGAAAACUCACAGCUUAACUGUGGGCGUGCGGGCGAUACGGGCAGACUUGAGUACUGCAGGGGAGACUGGAAUUCCUGGUGUAGCGGUGGAAUGCGCAGAUAUCAGGAGGAACACCGGUGGCGAAGGCGGGUCUCUGGGCAGUAACUGACGCUGAGGAGCGAAAGCGUGGGGAGCGAACAGGAUUAGAUACCCUGGUAGUCCACGCCGUAAACGGUGGGUACUAGGUGUGGGUUUCCUUCCUUGGGAUCCGUGCCGUAGCUAACGCAUUAAGUACCCCGCCUGGGGAGUACGGCCGCAAGGCUAAAACUCAAAGAAAUUGACGGGGGCCCGCACAAGCGGCGGAGCAUGUGGAUUAAUUCGAUGCAACGCGAAGAACCUUACCUGGGUUUGACAUGCACAGGACGCCAGUAGAGAUAUUGGUUCCCUUGUGGCCUGUGUGCAGGUGGUGCAUGGCUGUCGUCAGCUCGUGUCGUGAGAUGUUGGGUUAAGUCCCGCAACGAGCGCAACCCUUGUCCUAUGUUGCCAGCGGGUUAUGCCGGGGACUCGUAGGAGACUGCCGGGGUCAACUCGGAGGAAGGUGGGGAUGACGUCAAGUCAUCAUGCCCCUUAUGUCCAGGGCUUCACACAUGCUACAAUGGCCGGUACAAAGGGCUGCGAUGCCGUGAGGUGGAGCGAAUCCUUUCAAAGCCGGUCUCAGUUCGGAUCGGGGUCUGCAACUCGACCCCGUGAAGUCGGAGUCGCUAGUAAUCGCAGAUCAGCAACGCUGCGGUGAAUACGUUCCCGGGCCUUGUACACACCGCCCGUCACGUCAUGAAAGUCGGUAACACCCGAAGCCGGUGGCCUAACCCUUCUGGGAGGGAGCCGUUUAAGGAGA